Molecule: ribosomal RNA, 459 nt
Filed under: uncultured bacterium
Lineage: Bacteria
Description: partial 16S ribosomal RNA
Rfam family: Bacterial small subunit ribosomal RNA
Source: RNAcentral
CCUACGGGUGACAGCAGUGAGGAAUAUUGGUCAAUGGUCGUGAGGCUGAACCAGCCAAGUCGCGUGCGGGAAGACGGCCCUACGGGUUGUAAACCUCUUUUGUCAGGGAGUAAGGUGCAGGUCGGGAGCUGCUGUGUGAGUACCUCAUGAAAAAGCAUCGGCUAAUUCCGUGCCAGCAGCCGCGGUAAUACGGAGGAUGCGAGCGUUAUCCGGAUUUAUUGGGUUUAAAGGGUGCGUAGGCGGAAUAUCAAGUCAGCGGUAAAAUUUCGGGGCUCAACCCCGUCGUGCCGUGGAAACUGAUGUUCUUGAGUGGGCGAGAAGUAUGCGGAAUGCGUGGUGUAGCGGUGAAAUGCAUAGAUAUCACGAAGAACUCCGAUUGCGAAGGCAGCAUACCGGCGCCCAACUGACGCUGAAGCACGAAGGCGUGGGUAUCGAACAGGAUUAGAUACCCCGGUAGUC